RNAcentral lists this transfer RNA (76 nucleotides) under Herbidospora galbida. Its description in RNAcentral is "Herbidospora sp. NEAU-GS14 tRNA-Gly". It matches the Rfam family "tRNA". From Rfam's summary of the family: Transfer RNA (tRNA) molecules are approximately 80 nucleotides in length. Their secondary structure includes four short double-helical elements and three loops (D, anti-codon, and T loops). The record is from RNAcentral. Lineage: Bacteria; Bacillati; Actinomycetota; Actinomycetes; Streptosporangiales; Streptosporangiaceae.
GCUGUAGUAACUCAAUUGGUAGAGUGGCUGCCUUCCAAGCAGCAUGUUGGGGGUUCGAAUCCCCCCUACGGCUCCA